UAGGACCUCUGCCAUUGUGCAUUAUCGGCAACAGCAACGUGGGUCCAGCCUCAGUGACACAACUCAGGCUGAGACUGGGCAGAAUAAAAACAUGGUGGAGGGAAGGAUUUGAGACCUUGAUUUCCUUAGAAUUUAAUUUCUCUAUGGAAAUUAAUGGAAGUUCAUAUUGCUCAUCUGUGGGGUAUUUUCUAAUGCUGCCAUUCAUUUAGGUUAUUUAUUUUUUUGGUUUUCAUGUGGUACUCACUGUAAAACCUUCUCUGAUGAAUGCAUCUGGCCGUGAUGUGAAGUGGGAAAUAGAAUGAAUUUCGGCCUUGGGGGAAACUCAACUAUAAGGGAACAGAUAAAAGGUAGCAGUGAUUAGGAUGGCCCAGAAGGAGUAUGUUGAAUGAAAGGAGAAGAGAGCCAUGGAUAUAACUUAAGAGAACAGCAACUCUUUUUAAGGGGCAGAUGACUGAAGAGAAGCCAGAGGAAAAAGCAUGCAAAACCGAGUGCAUUGGACUAAACAGCCAGGGUCAGGCCUGUGUCUGUCGUGACCUAGCUGUGCAACCCUGACCAAGAGAAAAAUAGCCCCAUAAUACCCUGGCUCCUGUAGAGACCUGCCUUCAGGCUGGAUUUCUUCAACAACUUGUCGACUCACUUUUCAAUCUGCCUAUUCAAUUGAAGAUUACCAAUUUGGGAAUGAGGAAGGAAAAGCAGUCAUCUGAAGGAUUCCGUGACGAACUCCUCAGAUCCGCCCACCACCCAC
Long non-coding RNA from Balaenoptera ricei (Rice's whale), 745 nucleotides. RefSeq lists it as uncharacterized. The transcript has 5 exons. NCBI's taxonomy places the organism in Eukaryota, Metazoa, Chordata, Mammalia, Artiodactyla, Balaenopteridae. The record is from RefSeq and is a predicted model, not a curated record.